Molecule: long non-coding RNA, 2052 nt
Organism: Cylas formicarius (sweet potato weevil)
Lineage: Eukaryota; Metazoa; Arthropoda; Insecta; Coleoptera; Brentidae
Exons: 3
Source: RefSeq, a predicted model, not a curated record
GAUUCUGUGGUGGAGCAUUUCACGCGGCGGUUUAACCUCCGUUCGCUCCUUGUUCACUUGACGAAAAGCGAAAAUUAAAUUUUGAGCGUCCUCAAUAGUUCGCGUAAAAUUCAUUGCGAAAGCCUACCUGUUUCUUGUUGGCCGAUGUACCAGGCUACCUGGCCUUGCAUUGCUUCCAGUUUUUCUUUCAUAUCAUCACCAUUUAUAAAACAGGUGAAUACGCGUUUUUUGGUUGUCAUUUUAGUAGUAAUGACGGGUGUCGUAUCUCACAAGAUGCACUGUAGGAUGGGUACACUUUGGACACACGUCAAGGAGUUUUACUUUGUUUAUCCAAUACGGUUGUAGCUGAUAUUUGUAUUUGCGCGCGUAAUUACACUUUGAACACACGAUUUUUUUGGAGUAGACGAAAUAAUUUCUCGGCGGUGUGACGUUCAUUAUUAAACUGAAAUGUUAUUGUGUGUUCCGGAUGUUUUAUUAAUAGCAUUAUCAACGGAUAUUCUUAUCUAUUUCCUGUCCCCCGCGCCUUCGGCACGUACGCCUCUCUGCCGGUGACGUUUGCGUCACUUGGUUGGCACCACUAACAACGGUUUGGUUGGCACCACGGACGACGGUUGGCACCACGGUUAGGUUGGCACCACGGUUUGGUUAAAUUGGCACCACUGACAACGAUCGGGCCCCCGAACGGCGCGCGCGACAUCUAGCAGCAACGGGACGGAACCGACGGUACAUAAUUAGCUCGGCAUUAAAGUGACCGUUCAACGACGGACGGGUUUUCACGGCAGCCCCCUCGAGAUGGCGGGGGGGCUGCCGGUGGGGUCCCCGAACGGCACGCUGGCGAACGGACAAAGACAACGUUUUGGUUGGCACCACUGACGACGGUUUGGUAAGGUUAGGGCGUAUGGUUAAUGGGCGAGUGACCUAUGGACGAACGGCCAGAACACAAAAAGAAGAAGCACAUGGGCGGGUGGCCAAUAGGUCCAGUGUGAAGGAAGAAGACCCGUGGGCGGUGGGCCCGCGGCCGGGAAGCCAAAAGUGAGGUUAUGUGGGCAUGGAUGUCCCUUUAUUCAUCUACAUGCAAGGCCAGGUAGGCAAUGGUAAUCGCGCAUAAAGUCGAGAUACAUAGAAUAGAGCUCUGGGUUUCGAGAAAGACGCUUUUCCAGCGACAACAAGCUAAGAUUCUGGGUGUUUAAAGGGUAGGGAUGCGAUAAAUCUACCACUCUUGUUCCUGCGGGUCGUAUUUGCGAAAAUAGUCUCACACCUUUCGUCCUCCGGGGAAGCGGGAUGCUUAGUCGUUUCUAAAGCAGAUGGAUGACCGGACGCACCUGGGAUGCGUCCAGCGAGUAGGAUUUGACCAGUUAAUCGCCAAUUACAAGAUCUACAACACCGGGAAUAUGGUAAUUGCGGUCAGCCAACUCCAGAUUUUUUAAAUUUUCUCUGCCAGCGUUAUUGGAUUGCAGGUCUGUCAGUACAUAGCUGUGGUACGACAAUGGCAUCGAACGAAAGUAGAGGAGUUGCUUGAUUUUGUGAUUUAAUGGUGCAUCGAGUUAAUCCUUUUGAAGUUUGACUGGUCAUGCCUUUUAGGCCGUGAAUGGGCACAGUGUAAAGCUUCAACCUGCGUAAACAUGUCGUAGUGCGACGACACCCCCAAAGCCUCACAAAAAAAAAGAAAAAGCGAAGAAACGGUUCAGCAGCAGCAGCAGCAGCAUACCGGCUUAUCCUUCUCCUCCUCCGGUUGGUUCGAUACGUUUAUCGACGACGAAGAAAGAAGGCUGGUAUGCGAAGCGUUCCAGUUGAAAAUGGUUUUAGAGUCGCAGCUGGUGCGAAACGAGGACCGGAUCAAAGAGACUGAAACUAAAAUUGCCCUGCUGCAGAGCGAGUUACAAGUGGCGCGCCUUCACUCCGACGAAUGCAGAAAAAAACUUAAACAUUUUGCAAGUUUAGCAUCCUCUCUGCCCGCAUCAAUUCCAUAGUUUUUUUUUUUUAAUUUUAAAAAUAUUAUCGAUGUUGAUGUAAAUAAAAAAAAUCUUUAGUGUUUUUUUUAUUUAGACACAC